CAUCUCGGGGCCGCGGAGCCGCGCGACUCCAGCGCGGCCAGCUCGACGCCACGGCUGAACGAGAACGGCGCCAUCACGCCGCUCCGCUCUGGCGUCACUGCGCCCAACUGUGGCGUCCUCGACGUGCCUCCUCGCCGAGUAGGUGAGUUCCUCUUGCUGUUCGUGUUGGAGAGUUCGAACAAUCGAUUGACAUCUCAGCGCUGAUUGUAUGCAAAUCUUGUUAGUUUUUUUUCCAUGCGGUGAAAUCGAGCUCACCCCCCUUUUUCAGUUUCUAAUGCUGCCUGAUCUAGGCCGAUUACUUCCUGUCAUGCUCCAGAACACAUUGCAUUUGCAAACCUUUGGGUGUGAGGACAAGAAGAUGAACUUAAAGUCAGCGGGCAGCAGCAUGUUUGGUUGUCAGGAGAUGCAUGAUGUUUGGUUGUUAGCUCAUCUAUAAUGAUUGUUAUUGACUAAUUAUUUCUUCUCACCAUGAUUUCAGAAUGCUGUUGUGAUCCUUAUCCAUUAGUUGUGAUGAUAAUCUGCAUAUUUUGAAUUCGUUGGAUGAAUCUUCAAACUACAUUGCAUAAAUUUUAACUGAGAUUUUGCAAUGCAGAUCUGUGAUGUCAUUGCUGUGGCCAGCUUGCUUAAUACAACUCUUGUGAACCAAACACUUCGUCUGAAUAGUGCUUAGCAUGAUUCUAGGCUGAGGACUUUGAGGAUACGAGAUUACUGACCAAGCUUAUAGUUCAUUGCUUGUGAGUUGUCUGCUAAAAGGUUUGUCAAAUUGGUUGAGUUAUUGUUAGGAUGAUCUAAAUUUUGUGACAGUGGGUCCAUGACAAGGUCCGCAUACUGCCUCUGAAAAAAGCUGUCAAAGAGCCUAAAGUGAGUCGAUGAUAUAUACAACAUUGAUCAUGGAAGGAUUUGAUUCCAACAACAUUGGCUGCAUCAAGAUUGCAUGAAGAUAACAUGAGAAAUGGAUUGAUAAGAGAGCAAUGCCGGUCCAGGUAGGAGAAGCAAAGUUAUCUCAGAAAUUCAUGUGCAAGUCAAUUGUUUUAUUUUUACCUUUUCCAAAUCAUUGUAAGGCAACCUACUUUUUCAGCAGGUUUCUAGGAUUGGGAAAGGAGAAGGGCAUGCAAGGGGACUUUAUGGAUUUUAAGAGCUUAGAGAAUGAAAUUAUGGGGAUCCCUUUAGGAUGAUUCCCCCGUUUAAUUUUUUUAGCUUAGUUGUGAUGCCUAAGUGACUAAUGGAAAUGUUCUGAGAUGAAAGGAUACCGGUUUAUUAACAUGCAGAAUUGGUUGGAACUACGAUGUAAUACAUGAUAGGAAAGCUCUUACUAUGUGUUACAAGGGUCUGAAUAUUGUUCUCUCCUCUUUUUUUGUUGCAGUAGGCACACGGGUAUAAAAAGUUUUCGUUGAAAAUUGAUAAUCAGUGGAUUAAAUUGUUUGGAACAAUGUUAUUUAUUA
Long non-coding RNA from Panicum virgatum (switchgrass), 1442 nucleotides. RefSeq lists it as uncharacterized. Lineage: Eukaryota; Viridiplantae; Streptophyta; Magnoliopsida; Poales; Poaceae. The record is from RefSeq and is a predicted model, not a curated record. The transcript is spliced from 5 exons.